CUUUGAUUGAGAGUUCCUGCAUGGCAGGGGUUGGACUGGAUGGCCCUUGAGGUCUCUUCCAACUCUGAUUCUAUGAAAUAACUGAGUUUAUUUGUGUGGAUGUUCUAUGUAUGUGUAUGUUUUUGUAUGUAGAGUAAAUUUCGUAUAUUGUAAGUUGGUUUAUAUUGUUAGUUAUGUUUAAAAAAUAUUCUGCUUCUUACCUGAUCAUGGUCAAGGUCUGCAUCUCCAGUGAUAACAAUCCGCUUUUCAAUUCUGGUUUCUGACACACCACCUUUUAUCGUCUAUAGGGUUCACAAGAAAGAAAAAAAUGAUGUGUAUGUGUGUGUUAAUAUUCAAGCAGAGUGAAUUUACUGUAAAAGGACAAUAAAAGCUGAUUCAUAUCUACUCUGUCACAACACAAUCAACACUGUAGCAGAAAUGGAAAAACUUUCAAGAAAUUCAUCAAUGUUGUAAGAUGAGGCAGAGCUAGAAGACCCAUCCUGUAUAGCAACUUCUUAGGUGAAGAAGUGGUGAUAGCCUGUCUUUCAGCUCCAAGACAAACUGGAGGAAAUACUACAGCUGCAGGUGCAUCCCAUCAUUCACAGCACUCAAACCUUCUUUUCAACAGGGCUUUAAGAAUAUUACAAGAGGAAAAAAGUUGGCUAGUGCCCCAGAAAUAAAAUAAUAAAGUCUGAUUUAUGAAGCAUGGGAGUUAUUAUAGCAUGUUGCCAGCCCUUUAAACACACACACACACACACAGAGAGAGAGAGAGAGAGAGAGAGAGAGAGAGAGAGAGAGAGGUAUUUUAAACAGUGCUGGUUUUUUUCUGUCAGCCUGGCUUUUGAAACAGCAGAGAUCAGCAAGCAGUAUGCUACAGAAUGCCUUGCAAGUGUCUUAGGCGAAGUACCAUGGAAAGUACCAUAUCCAAAGUUUGAAAAGUGCUGUCUACCGGCAUGUAUCGUAAAUAAAAGCAGGAACAUAAUAAAAGUUAAAUAACUCAAAAAAGUAGCUACAUCAUAUUUUAAGUUUCUAGUGUUUCUAUAACUAGCAUGGAAUUUGUUCAAAGUCCAUUUAAAAAAAAAAAGAAAUCCAAUUUACACUGAAAGAAGGGGAAAGUUUAAGACUCAUUCUAGUUUUUACCUUUGUAAUGUGUGUGGUGGUGGUUGUAGAAACAGAUUCUGCUGUGAUCGUCUGUGCACUCAACAGUACACCAGCAUCACCACUGCCAUCGAACUGCAUAAUUAAAGAGAGGGAACAGUCAAGUCUAUCAAAUGAACCAAACAGAGAUCUGUAUUUGUUUGAAAACCUGAAGAGGACAGAGAAGAAGAAAGGCAGAGAUAUUUAACCCUAUGGCUCUAGACAAGUUAGAAAAUGGAAAGCAACAAAUUAACAGCAGAAGACAAAACAGCAGAGAUCUACAAAAGAAACAACAGGCAAGACAAGAAACAAAGGGCAUGCAAACAGAGAGAAAAAGCACGCACAAAAGGACAGUACACUGAAAUGUAUUUCUUUAAAGGAUAUGGCUCACAUUGUACUUUUAUGACAAAAAGUUCAAUAAAAAUGAUCACAUAA
This is a long non-coding RNA of Sceloporus undulatus (fence lizard), 1551 nucleotides long. RefSeq lists it as uncharacterized. NCBI's taxonomy places the organism in Eukaryota, Metazoa, Chordata, Lepidosauria, Squamata, Phrynosomatidae. The transcript has 3 exons. The record is from RefSeq and is a predicted model, not a curated record.